Acanthosepion pharaonis is the source of this 109-nucleotide non-coding RNA. NCBI's taxonomy places the organism in Eukaryota, Metazoa, Mollusca, Cephalopoda, Sepiida, Sepiidae. The record is from the annotation of a GenBank genome assembly.
GCCAUAUCACAUUGAAAUACUGGUUCUCGUCCGAUCACCAAACUUGAGCAACGUCGAGCCUGGUCUGUACCUAGAUUGGUGACUGCUUGGGAAUACCAGGUGCUGUAAG